Molecule: ribosomal RNA, 501 nt
Filed under: uncultured bacterium
Lineage: Bacteria
Description: partial 16S ribosomal RNA
Rfam family: Bacterial small subunit ribosomal RNA
Source: RNAcentral
AUUGAACGCUGGCGGCAGGCUUAACACAUGCAAGUCGAGCGGGGGAAGGUAGCUUGCUACCGGACCUAGCGGCGGACGGGUGAGUAAUGCUUAGGAAUCUGCCUAUUAGUGGGGGACAACAUCUCGAAAGGGAUGCUAAUACCGCAUACGUCCUACGGGAGAAAGCAGGGGAUCUUCGGACCUUUCGCUAACAGCAGAGCCUAAGUCGGAUGAGCUAGUUGGUGGGGUAAAGGCCUACCAAGGCGACGGUCUGUAGCGGGUCUGAGAGGAUGAUCCGCCACACUGGGACUGAGACACGGCCCAGACUCCUACGGGAGGCAGCAGUGGGGAAUAUUGGACAAUGGGGGGAACCCUGAUCCAGCCAUGCCGCGUGUGUGAAGAAGGCCUUAUGGUUGUAAAGCACUUUAAGCGAGGAGGAGGCUACUUUAGUUAAUACCUAGAGAUAGUGGACGUUACUCGCAGAAUAAGCACCGGCUAACUCUGUGCCAGCAGCCGCGGUAA